This 615-nucleotide ribosomal RNA is filed under the name uncultured bacterium. Its description in RNAcentral is "bacterial SSU rRNA". It matches the Rfam family "Bacterial small subunit ribosomal RNA", at positions 338 to 947 of the family's 1533-position model. The record is from RNAcentral.
CCUACGGGAGGCAGCAGUGGGGAAUUUUGGACAAUGGGCGAAAGCCUGACCCAGCAAUGCCGCGUGUGGGAAGAAGGCCUUCGGGUUGUAAACCACUUUUGUACGGAACGAAACGGUUCGCUUUAAUACAGUGGGCUAAUGACGGUACCGUAAGAAUAAGCACCGGCUAACUACGUGCCAGCAGCCGCGGUAAUACGUAGGGUGCGAGCGUUAAUCGGAAUUACUGGGCGUAAAGCGUGCGCAGGCGGUUAUAUAAGACAGUUGUGAAAUCCCCGGGCUCAACCUGGGAAUUGCAUCUGUGACUGUAUAGCUAGAGUACGGUAGAGGGGGAUGGAAUUCCGCGUGUAGCAGUGAAAUGCGUAGAUAUGCGGAGGAACACCGAUGGCGAAGGCAAUCCCCUGGACCUGUACUGACGCUCAUGCACGAAAGCGUGGGGAGCAAACAGGAUUAGAUACCCUGGUAGUCCACGCCCUAAACCGAUGUCAACUGGUUGUUGGGUGCAUUAGUACUCAGUAACGAAGCUAACGCGUGAAGUUGACCGCCUGGGGAGUACGGCCGCAAGGUUGAACUCAAGGAAUUGACGGCUGAGAGNGCGAGACGACGACGAGGGAGAGG